AAGUGUAAACUACACGAAACUGCGUGAGCUAAUCAUCAUUAUUGUAUUAUGUUACAUAAUAAUAAUGUGAAUGUCGAUUAGGGGUGAUAGGCCUCUCAAAUGCAAGAUAUCUUGAUUCUUAUGACAUGUAAUAGUACAAAGACAGAUUAAUAGUUAUAAGGCUUUUAAUUAGAAUUAAUUUUGUUAAAGUAGAAUAAGCGGGUUUAAUAGCCUACAUACAUAGUCUCCAAAUAUUAAUAAUGAAUAAAUUAUUUUGAAUUAGUAAGACUCAAUAAAUUUUAAAAUUUGAUAAUAAUGUUUUCAUUAGUAUUUAGAAGUUAUUGAUAGUGAAUUCGGCACAUUGCUUUCAACUGUUUACCAAAAACAUAGCUGCGUGAAGAUAUACGUGGUAAGUUCUGCUCAAUGAUAUUUAAAUAGCCGCAGUACCCUGACUGUGCAAAGGUAGCGUAAUCAUUUGUCUCUUAAUUGGAGUCCCGUAUGAAAGAAUAAAUGGGGGCAAUCUUUACCAUUAAUAAUAAAAAAACUUACUUAGUUGGUGCAAAAUCCUAUAAUUAAAUAAAAGACGAGAAGACCCUAGAAAUUUAUAUAAAUGUUUUGUUGGGGCAACAUAGUAGCAAGUAAUCUACUAUAUGUAUAUGACAUUCUGUAGAAAAACCAAAUUACUCUAGGGAUAACAGCAUAAUCUAUAAAUGUUUGUGACCUCGAUGUUGGAUUAGGGAGUUGUUGUCUAGA
Molecule: ribosomal RNA, 732 nt
Filed under: Parachloritis ninokonisi
Lineage: Eukaryota; Metazoa; Mollusca; Gastropoda; Stylommatophora; Camaenidae
Description: partial 16S ribosomal RNA
Rfam family: Archaeal large subunit ribosomal RNA (bases 348-492)
Source: RNAcentral